GGAAUAUUGGACAAUGGGCGCAAGCCUGAUCCAGCCAUGCCGCGUGAGUGAUGAAGGCCUUAGGGUUGUAAAGCUCUUUCGUCAGGGAAGAUAAUGACGGUACCUGAAGAAGAAGACCCGGCUAACUCCGUGCCAGCAGCCGCGGUAAUACGAAGGGGGCUAGAGUGGCUCGGAAUCACUGGGCGUAAAGCGCACGUAGGCGGCUUUCUAAGUCAGGGGUGAAAUCCUGGAGCUCAACUCCAGAACUGCCUUUGAUACUGGAAAGCUUGAGUUCGGGAGAGGUGAGUGGAACUGCGAGUGUAGAGGUGAAAUUCGUAGAUAUUCGCAAGAACACCAGUGGCUAAGGCGGCUCACUGGCCCGAUACUGACGCUGAGGUGCGAAAGCGUGGGGAGCAA
This 396-nucleotide ribosomal RNA is filed under the name uncultured bacterium. RNAcentral's name for it is "bacterial SSU rRNA". It matches the Rfam family "Bacterial small subunit ribosomal RNA", at positions 358 to 771 of the family's 1533-position model. The record is from RNAcentral.